GGCAAGCCCGACGGAGCAACGCCGCGUGAGGGAUGAAGGCCUCUGGGCUGUAAACCUCUUUUAUCAAGGAAGAAGAUCUGACAGUACUUGAUGAAUAAGCCACGGCUAAUUCCGUGCCAGCAGCCGCGGUAAUACGGGAGUGGCAAGCGUUAUCCGGAAUUAUUGGGCGUAAAGCGUCCGCAGGCGGCUCUUCAAGUCUGCUGUUAAAAAGUGGAGCUUAACUCCAUCAUGGCAGUGGAAACUGUUGGGCUUGAGUGUGGUAGGGGCAGAGGGAAUUUCCGGUGUAGCGGUGAAAUGCGUAGAUAUCGGGAAGAACACCAGUGGCGAAGGCGCUUUGCUGGGCCAUUACUGACGCUCAUGGACGAAAGCCAGGGGAGCG
RNAcentral lists this ribosomal RNA (379 nucleotides) under uncultured cyanobacterium. RNAcentral describes it as "SSU rRNA". It matches the Rfam family "Bacterial small subunit ribosomal RNA", at positions 374 to 770 of the family's 1533-position model. The record is from RNAcentral. Lineage: Bacteria; Bacillati; Cyanobacteriota.